Molecule: non-coding RNA, 96 nt
Organism: Hordeum vulgare subsp. vulgare (domesticated barley)
Lineage: Eukaryota; Viridiplantae; Streptophyta; Magnoliopsida; Poales; Poaceae
Source: Rfam
AGUAUCAGGUGAUGAAACCUUGAAACAAUCUUAGGACACCUUCUGACACAGUGCUGUUAUCCUGUGAAUGAGAAGUCUAUAUCUUCUGAUGAUACU